RNAcentral lists this ribosomal RNA (775 nucleotides) under uncultured Neocallimastigales. RNAcentral's name for it is "partial large subunit ribosomal RNA". It matches the Rfam family "Eukaryotic large subunit ribosomal RNA", at positions 24 to 644 of the family's 3401-position model. The record is from RNAcentral. Lineage: Eukaryota; Fungi; Neocallimastigomycota; Neocallimastigomycetes; Neocallimastigales.
UAUCUCUGUAGAGUCUGCAUAUCAAUAAGCGGAGGAAAAGAAACUAACAAGGAUUCCCUUAGUAACGGCGAGUGAAGCGGGAAGAGCUCAAAUUUGAAAUCUUCAAGGUUCUACCUUGACGAAUUGUAGUUUAAAGAAGUGUUUUCUGUUAGAUGAGUAGCAAAAGUUCCUUGGAAUGGGACAUCAUAGAGGGUGAGAAUCCCGUAUUUGGUUAUUCAUUCUAGCUUUGUGAUACACUUUCAAGAGAGUCGGAUUGUUUGGGAAUGCAGUCCAAAAUGGGUGGUAAAUUUCAUCUAAAGCUAAAUAUUGGCGAGAGACCGAUAGCGAACAAGUACCGUGAGGGAAAGAUGAAAAGAACUUUGAAAAGAGAGUUAAACAGUACGUGAAAUUGUCAAAAGGGAAGCGUUUGACACCAGUGUUGUUUUUCCGAAAAUCAAUUACGAAUGGCUUGAUUUUGUGUUGUAUUGACCUUAUCAGCUUUCUUCACUUUUUUCGAGUCUUUCUUAAUGCACUUUUCGGUUAACAAGUCAACAUCAAUUUCUUUUGUUGUAAAAGAGUAUUCGGAAGGUGGCUUUCUUUUCGGAGAAAGUGUUUAUAGCCCUAUACUUCUACAAUCGGAGAGAUUGAGGUCUGCAGCGUAGAUCCUUCGGGGUUAGAUACACUUGUGCUAAGUUGUAGCUUUUCAUAGACAACUUGUUGACUAUGUUUAGUCAUGCGGCUUACUCGCUUGUGCUAUUUUACCUACGCUUAGGAUGUUGACUGAUAUGUAGUCGUA